UUCACGGAAUGGAGUCUCUGGAUUUCGUCCAAACUCUCGUGUUCACGGAGGGAGUAAGGACUGGCGAGCCACAAGGAGUUUCCAACAAGUGCUACUGAAUGACAUCGACAUUGCUGUGUUGAACUGGACGGUAGGAAAGUAAACUAGCAGGACAAAAAGCGCAUUUCAAAAUUCUUUUUGGAAGGAUCUAAUUGGAAAAGACUGAGUGAUUAACUAUUCUGUUGUGAUUACUGAAUUCAGCCACAUUCACAAGUUUGUGAAUGAAACCUCAAGUACUGAAACACAAAAUUUGAAGAUCAAGCUGUGAAAUUAUUAUUUUUUUCUUACUUGAUCAAGGGUAUUUGCUUACAUGUGUUUAUAUAUAUUGUUUUUUUUUAAUUGAGAGAAGAAAGGGAAAUUUAUUCCUUGAAAUACAGAAAGUGUAUCCAGUAAGGGUUAAGUGUAAAAUUUACCUGGAAUCAAAGUUUCACUCAAAGAGGCGAACCAGAAUCUCUGAACACUGGCCAUAUUCAGAACCCAUCGUGUCUGCAGUACUUGGUGCAGCGGGUUACAGUUGUUCAGACAACGAAUCGUUUUUUUCAGUGCAGGAAACAGAGGACAUUAUUUACUCAGGCUACUGAGAAAAAAACUAAAAAGAGUUGUUCAAAAUAAUUAGUAAAUAUAAAGAAAUGGAGACAAAGGAAACUAACAGAUGCAACAAAGUUUAACCUAAAACGAAACUGAAACCAGAAUGUAAUGUGGAAGCUGCCAACACUUCAUGUAGGCCUACUGAGAGAAAGUGAAUGAAGUGGAAAUGAAACCGAACUGCGUUCACAAAUGUUUGAUUCGGUCUGAGAUGUGGUGUGUGCGACAUCUAGUGGUUGAAAAAUCAUAUAUAGACCCUUUAAAAUGUUAAGAUCAUUGCAACAUUACAUUAAAUUGAGGAGCUAAGAGAAUUGAAUAGCUAUCAUAUUGGUCUGGUUUCUCAAUAAUUUGACUCCAAAAGAAAUAGCCUAAUUAUUUCAACAGGUACAAAGGCAAAAUAAAAAGUGUUUGUAAUGUUACUGGACACAGAUUGUGUACUUUGGCUUAAUUGUAUAAAAUAAUAUAUUGGAGACUCCCUUACCCUUAUGUUUUCAGUGCAGACUACAGGAGCACUGAGCAGCAUAGAGCGCCCUCUGGCGGCUGUAGGUGGUAAUGUUUUCUAUUGGUUCAUUUCUCUCGGUUCACAUCAAAUUAAUUUUGAUAAAUAAAUCGCACCUGACUAUAAGUCGCAGGACCAGCCAAACUAUGAAAAAAAGUGUGAUUUAUAGUCCGAAAAUACGGUAAAUACAUAAUAAUUGAAUGCUUAUCUCUGUCUUUGAGGAUAAGAUUUCAAAUAUGAAAGCAAAACAGUAUAUAAAUUAUUGGUAGCCUACGUCCAGUAUGAUUCUCUAAAAGUUAUAAUACCACUGUAGUUGAUCAGUUAAACUGAUUGGCUGGAGGAUUCACCUCAGUUCUGAGCAUGCUAUUGAUAAAUAGAAGAUUAAUAUUAAACAUAAAUUAAUAAUAAAAAAAACUAUUUGCAAUGCAAGCUGCUUUAUGAUUAUGAACACAAUACAUUAAAAUAAUGUGAUAAUAAAUUCCGGUUUGAAAUAUCAAGUAGCAUAACAAAGUGUUUUGUGUGCAGUUAAAAUAGCUGUAAGAGAAUGACACCAGACGAUUUACACAUUCAAGUUAAGAAAGGCAGCACCUGCUCUUACGUUAAAAUAAAGAUAGUUAGUUUUUUUCUGCACCAUGAAACCCAGGCAAUUUUAAAAACUAGAAUUAUUAGUAGUGGUAUUUAUUAAUAAUUUCCUCAUUGUUUGGAUUAAAUGGGAUGCACACACCCUUUUCGUGAGUAAAAAUUGAGUUCUGUCAUGGUGGAAUUUUCCUUUCGUUUUUAUGCCUCCUUGUUUUUGUCUCCCUAGGAUCCAUGUUAUAACUGGGUAAAAGAGCGACUGAAUUUCUUAAACAGAAACUUUUUAUUUAAGCUAUGCUGCCACUACAACAGCAAUAAACUUGAGGCUGAGGAAGUCCUGGGCAGUACUUGUUUUGAGCACCAGCAAAAAUAAAAAGAAUGUCUGUGUACGGUGCCUCAUGUCUUGCAUUCCAUGCACAUGAGAAACUCACAUGAGAAAACAAUCCCGGCUUGCAGCACUUAAGACAAAGACUCCCCAAAGAAGGUUUUAUGUGUGUCCUUAUUCAGAGAGCAAACCCUGAACUUCACCCUGAUAGCGAGCUGCUUGUAGGAUAUGAGCAUUUAGGGAAAAGGUGAUGAAGGUAAGCCUCUUAUCGCUGUUGCCACAUCUGCUCUUCUACUUCCUGUUUCAGUGAAUACACUUCAGAUUCUACAGCUGCAGAGUAAAUGACACACUUUUCUAUUCAGACUAUACUCAAUAAAUUGUGUUUGUUGCUCUGAUUUUCAUAGUUUUGUGUAUUUCCAAUACUUGCAGUAAUUACAUUAGUUUUUCUGAUCAUAUGCAUUUCCUAUUUCCAAGGGUUU
This is a long non-coding RNA of Carassius auratus (goldfish), 2503 nucleotides long. NCBI's taxonomy places the organism in Eukaryota, Metazoa, Chordata, Actinopteri, Cypriniformes, Cyprinidae. The record is from Ensembl.